This is a non-coding RNA of Camelina sativa (false flax), 1213 nucleotides long. The record is from RefSeq and is a predicted model, not a curated record. Lineage: Eukaryota; Viridiplantae; Streptophyta; Magnoliopsida; Brassicales; Brassicaceae.
UACAACGUUUAAUUAUUAGGAUUAUCGAAGGGUCAUACAUAAUUUUGUGUCAUCUUCUAAACAAAAUCCCUAUUUUAUUUUCUCUGAACAAUCUGUUUUUUUUUGUCGUAUUCAGAUCCGUUAGACCCAGUUGAAUUCUAUAUUGCAAAACCCCCAAUUUUGCAAUUCUUCGAUGAUUGAAGCAAAAGAUGUCUUAAUAAAAUAGAUUCACUGAAGAAUGGAUCUGAUCCUAGUUUUUGGUUCAUACGACGAACGACCUCCUUGCCAAUUCCAUUAAUCGGGUAAGCUGGUUAUGAUUCUGUCAAUAAUCCCUUGAUAAUACAGUUAGCAUACGAAAGUUUCUCGAGAUUCGAAUUAGAAUAUUGUUUUUAAAAACAGUAACUGUUGCUCUACCUUAACUUUGUUUGAAAUAAUUCCCAAUUUUAGGCAGAUUAGUCAAAAUUUAAUCAUUGGAUAUGAUGAUAAGUGAAUAUUGAUCUGUAUUAUUUUUUACAAUAUUACAUGUUUAUGAUUUUAAGCAUCCGAUUGUUAAAAGAGGAUCAUAUAACGGAGAAGAAGACAUCUAAAAAGAAGAGGUAAUUAUAUAUGUAAGGUUACAAUUCGUUUUCGCCAUUUUUUUUCCUCAACUCCAAUAAACUUUUUAACUUACAAUUUUGUUCUGUGUUGAAUAUAUGAGCUCCAUUGACAUGGAUCCCGGAGGAGCCAUUUACAAAACUUAUAAGCAGCAAAAGUGCUUGAGGAGACAAAAUAAUGAAAACGGAAAAGAAGUUGCAAAUGAACAUAAACAUUAAACUUACUUGGAAUAUAAGACGUAUUCGAUAUUACCCUCCUUCUGAUCCAACAUUUUUCUUCCGGAUUCCAAGUAAAGAACUGAGGUAUAUCCUCAAACGUGAGUUCUCUUGCUUCAGCUGAGUGGAGCUAGAUUAGUUAUUGGAAAGUUUGCUGCCAUUUUGAAAGCGAUUCCCGCAGAAGGUUGGUGAGAUAUGUUCUUCAGUUUAAAAUCUUGGCUUGUAAACGGGUGAUCCAUUUCUAUAUCCAACUCUAUUUUUCGGAUUUUUUCACACCCGUAUCCGUUUACUUAAUUUCGGGUUAUUUUCACUUAAUUGACCCGAUCCAUUGUAGAUUUUGUACUUCUCUUUUAUUUAUAUAGAGAUUUGAUAGGACUUAAUCAAUGUAGUUGUACGUUUUUUAAAAAGAAAAACAAAAAAGUUAA